Molecule: ribosomal RNA, 440 nt
Filed under: uncultured bacterium
Lineage: Bacteria
Description: partial 16S ribosomal RNA
Rfam family: Bacterial small subunit ribosomal RNA
Source: RNAcentral
CCUACGGGAGGCAGCAGUGGGGAAUAUUGCACAAUGGGCGAAAGCCUGAUGCAGCAACGCCGCGUGAGCGAUGAAGGCCUUCGGUAUGUAAAGCUCUAUCAGCAAGGAAGAAAAUGACGGUACUUGAGGAGGAAGCCCCGGCUAACUACGUGCCAGCAGCCGCGGUAAUACGUAGGGGGCUAACGUUAUCCGGAAUUACUGGGCGUAAAGGGUGCGUAGGCGGUUUGUUAAGUCCGAAGUGAAAGGCCGGGGCUCAACCCUUGUACGGCUUUGGAAACUGGCGACAUGGAGUGCUGGAGAGGAGAGUGGAAUUCCUAGUGUAGCGGUGAAAUGCGUAGAUAUUAGGAGGAACACCAGUGGCGAAGGCGGCUCGCUGGACUGUAACUGACGCUGAGGCACGAAAGCGUGGGGAGCAAACAGGAUUAGAUACCCGAGUAGUC